UUUCCGUAGGUGAACCUGCGGAAGGAUCAUUAUUGUAUAACCGAGGUGCGAGGGCUGUCGCUGACCCGAAAGGUCGUGCACGCCCGAGUGCCCUCACACACAUCCAUCUCACCCCUAUGUGCACCACCGCGUGGGUCCCCCUUUUGGCUUGUUCGGAGGGGGGCUUACGUUUUCACACAAACUUUGUAUGCAGUGUAGAAUGUAUUUUUUGUUUUUGCGAUCACGCAAUCAAUACAACUUUCAACAACGGAUCUCUUGGCUCUC
This 264-nucleotide unclassified non-coding RNA is filed under the name plant metagenome. Its description in RNAcentral is "partial contains small subunit ribosomal RNA, internal transcribed spacer 1, and 5.8S ribosomal RNA". The record is from RNAcentral.